RNAcentral lists this long non-coding RNA (1117 nucleotides) under Cyanistes caeruleus (blue tit). RNAcentral describes it as "lncRNA (ENSCCEG00000001404.1)". Lineage: Eukaryota; Metazoa; Chordata; Aves; Passeriformes; Paridae. The record is from RNAcentral.
CCAGUGUUCUCUUUUGCCAGCCAGGGCUGUUUUGGAAGGAACCCUAAACUGAAUUCUGAAAUCAAAUAACAUUUUCUACUUGAAAUGCAGCAUAAUUGCUAUCAGUAUAUGCAGGAGUAACAGAAAACAGGCAAAUAUAAUCAUUUUGGGCCCUCAAAGUCAGGUAGUAAUAGGUAAAGAAAUAACAGCUUCUAUCUUCUCUCUCCUGUGAUUGCUUUUAAUCUCAAAUAUAAUUGCUUUCUCCCCAAAUUUCUCACAAUGUUACAUUACAAGCAUGAAUUUAGUUCUAUUUUUAUAAGCCAUAUUAUUCUGUUGAGAUCAUGACAGAAACAUGUCCUGGCCUCACACUAUAACAAAUGAAUACCAUCAUAACAGAAGAGCCAGUGCGUCAUUUUCAGCCACAGUGGUUAGUAGAGUCUCACCCUGGCAGGAAAGGAAAGACAAAACUUUUGGUGAAGUCACCAGCUUCCCUAACUUCUUCAUGGACUUUAAACAGUCAGACACCACAGUGACGGAAAGGAAGAUGGACUACAGCAGAUGACCAGGAGAAAGUCAAGCCUGCAGAGACAGAAUGAAGACUCUUUACUUUCAUCUGUAUUUGCCAUAAGAACUGGCAAUGAAAUACAGACACAGAAUUGCAGCGUUUUUAUCUGUAUUUCGGAAAAAUUAUACAAAUAUAUCAAGAAAAAUAUUUUUAAAUUUAACUUUGUGAAAAUAUUCUGAAUGUGUCAGUGACAGCUUACCAAUAAGGAAGCAAAGGGAGAGAACAAAUGAGAACAGCUACAAAAUGUCAUGAAAACUCACAACAGACAAAUGGUCAGAAAUUACAGAAUCCACAGAAUAAUGGAAUAUUCUGAGUUGGAAAGGAUUCACAAGGAUCAUUAAGUUCAACUCUUGGCCCUGCACAAGACAGCCCCAAGAAAAACAACACGGGCCUAAGAGCAUUGUCCAAACACUUCUUGAACUCAAUGUUUAAUUGGAAUAUAAUUUAUUCUAACACUAAAAAAUAUACAAACCAAAAUAAUACAUAUUGUAUAUAAGAUAGGAGAUUAUGAAAUAACUUCCUAGAGACUCAAUACCUAAUAAAGUGAAAAAGGACUUAUAACUACUAGAACUA